AAAAAAGGAGGAAAGGAAAAAAAACAAGAACCCUAGGUGGGAAAAUUGAAGAAAAAGUGUGGGAUUUCAAGGGAUUAAGCUAAUAAAGGUAAAAUUUCUUGAUUUUGACUUGUGAUUUACACUACCCAUGCUUUCUUUUUCAUUUUUUAUGGUUAGAUUUCAUGUUUUCAUGGUGAAUUCAUGGCUGGUUGGAAUGGGUAUGGAGAGAGAAUGAAGUUGGAUUGAUUUGAUUCUAAGUUAUGUUAGUGUUUUUAGUUAGUUUAUCAUGUCUUGAAACAAACCAACAAGAAAAAUUCAUUUUCUCCCAUUACCCAUCAUUCGCCGAAUUUUCUAGGGAGGAUAUUGUGGCUGAAAUUGAUGAUAUUUCAUGACAUUUUGGUGAAAUUUGAUGUUUGGUAAGGCUAGAAAUUAAAUGGGAAAUUUUGGUGUGAAAAUCUGAAUUUUUGCUUAACGUAUAGACAUGUGUGAUUAUUGAGACAUGACUGAUAAAUUGAAUUUCAUUCACAGUCACUGAGGUAAUUUAGGUAUAAUUGGAGUGUAGAAAGUGAGAAGAAUUGAUUUGGAGUUAAAUUGGAAAUUUUAGCCGAUUAGACCGAGUAUAGUGUGACUUAGGUCGAAUAUCACAUUUAAGUGAUUAAUCAGACAUUUUGCAUCCCAUCACAUGCAUUCAUUUAGAUUUAGAAAGCCUGAAAUAGUUUAUGAUAAAUUGACACAAUUUAUUGAAAUUCGUGUCACAUAUGAUGUAUAGGUGGUGAGCCCUUUAAUAAGGGUAAAGAGAUUGUGCACGAAGAUCGGGAAUAAGAGUAUAUCGAAUUCCUAGUACAGUGAGUAACCUUACUAUCAUCUUAAUUAUCUAGAG
RNAcentral lists this long non-coding RNA (859 nucleotides) under Theobroma cacao (cacao). RNAcentral's name for it is "long non-coding RNA (TCAC_LNC005416)". The record is from RNAcentral. Lineage: Eukaryota; Viridiplantae; Streptophyta; Magnoliopsida; Malvales; Malvaceae.